This 506-nucleotide ribosomal RNA is filed under the name Metabacillus litoralis. Its description in RNAcentral is "bacterial SSU rRNA". It matches the Rfam family "Bacterial small subunit ribosomal RNA", at positions 29 to 517 of the family's 1533-position model. The record is from RNAcentral. Lineage: Bacteria; Bacillati; Bacillota; Bacilli; Caryophanales; Bacillaceae.
ACGAACGCUGGCGGCGUGCCUAAUACAUGCAAGUCGAGCGAAUCAAUGGGAGCUUGCUCCCUGAGAUUAGCGGCGGACGGGUGAGUAACACGUGGGUAACCUGCCUGUAAGAUUGGGAUAACUCCGGGAAACCGGAGCUAAUACCGGAUAACAUUUUGAACCGCAUGGUUCAAAAUUGAAAGAUGGCUUCUAGCUAUCACUUACAGAUGGACCCGCGGCGCAUUAGCUAGUUGGUGAGGUAACGGCUCACCAAGGCAACGAUGCGUAGCCGACCUGAGAGGGUGAUCGGCCACACUGGGACUGAGACACGGCCCAGACUCCUACGGGAGGCAGCAGUAGGGAAUCUUCCGCAAUGGACGAAAGUCUGACGGAGCAACGCCGCGUGAACGAUGAAGGCCUUCGGGUCGUAAAGUUCUGUUGUUAGGGAAGAACAAGUACCAGAGUAACUGCUGGUACCUUGACGGUACCUAACCAGAAAGCCACGGCUAACUACGUGCCAGCAGCCG